AGACACUGGACUGGUAAAGGCAGAGUCACGGGUGGAGGACAGCGAGCCUGGUUUAUGUUCACUUCUGUUGGCUUUCCAUGGGCUUGGCUGUAUUGAAGAGAACACAAAACACAGAGCAGUAAAUGCUCUGAGAGAAGAUACUGGAUGUGGAUAGCUAAACACAAUCUUUUCUAAUUCAAACACAACAGCUCCCUUGAUGCUGAAAGGAAAAACCUACAGUGACAUCAGCUAACAGCCUUGCACCAUUCUACAGAAAUCAGAACAGGAACCCAGAGGAUGGGUAGGUUUCUCUGAACAGCAGCUGAAGUGGAAGAGAGUGCUUUGCCACAAAUCAUCAGAAAAUCGAGUUUGCCUUCUCCUUGGUUUCUGCUGUAUUUGCAAUGGAACUACCAGAGGGUUCAGGAUAAAUCCUUUAGUCUUCUCCUAUAAUUAAGUAGAUUCUAGUAGAACCAGUACAUGUAUUAAAAAAUUAGGUAUUUGAUCAGCAGCUCAAAAAAUAAAAUA
Melospiza melodia melodia is the source of this 504-nucleotide long non-coding RNA. RefSeq lists it as uncharacterized. NCBI's taxonomy places the organism in Eukaryota, Metazoa, Chordata, Aves, Passeriformes, Passerellidae. The record is from RefSeq and is a predicted model, not a curated record. The transcript has 3 exons.